Brienomyrus brachyistius is the source of this 83-nucleotide small nucleolar RNA. RefSeq annotates it as small nucleolar RNA SNORD11B. The record is from RefSeq and is a predicted model, not a curated record. The transcript has a single exon. NCBI's taxonomy places the organism in Eukaryota, Metazoa, Chordata, Actinopteri, Osteoglossiformes, Mormyridae.
UGGCAGUGGUGAUGAUGACGACUUAAGUCUCUACCCCGAAAAAGUCAUGUGGGCCUUUUGUCACUACCUCAUCUGAACUUCCG